AAUAUAUCUUCUUCUUUUUCUUU
This 23-nucleotide small RNA is filed under the name Arabidopsis thaliana (thale cress). Its description in RNAcentral is "ATSL096790". Lineage: Eukaryota; Viridiplantae; Streptophyta; Magnoliopsida; Brassicales; Brassicaceae. The record is from RNAcentral.